RNAcentral lists this long non-coding RNA (1060 nucleotides) under Nicotiana benthamiana. Its description in RNAcentral is "long non-coding RNA (NBEN_LNC011642)". The record is from RNAcentral. Lineage: Eukaryota; Viridiplantae; Streptophyta; Magnoliopsida; Solanales; Solanaceae.
AGACCCAAUAUGAUAUACAAACUUAUAUAUGUGACAUACAGGCCUAUAAGGCCGACAUGACCAUUUGUAAACUCAAAACAUAGACCGAUAAGACAAUACAAGUCUCCAUACACCUGACACAUGUCUAAAAACCUCUAAGAGUACAUAAAAUCAUAAAGGUUGGAACAGGGCCCCGCUAUAUCAAUCAAUACAUAUCCAAAGCAUACUGACCAAAUAGGCAACUCCGGAGCAAGUGGAGUACACCAAAACCUUUGAUGAGCUGAUAGCCUACUUAGAAGACUAUCAACCUAUCAAUUGAGACCUGCUGGCAUGAAACACGGCAUCCCCAGGCAAAAUGGAUGUCAAUUCGAAUAAAGUACCAAGUAUGUAAGACAAGAAAACAUAAACGAGAUCAGUAACGUGAAGUGAGAUAGAGAAGAUAGUGCAUCUGGAGGCUACUGAUAUGAAAUGUAUAAUUCGUAUAUACAUAUACCUUUUAAAAACAUUCGCCUCUAUGGGCAUUAUCAUCAUCAUAUCGUACCCGACCUCAAAGAGGACCUGGUAAAAACAUACCCGGCCAUCAUAAGUCUCGGUAGAAUCGUACCCGGCCAUGUGAAGCUCGUAAACCCAACUGAUCAGUGGUUGCACAAUAGGUUCCAUACCCGGCCGACUAUAGCGUGGCUCGGUAAAGUAAAAUGGAUAUAUAUAUAAUGCAUACUCGACUAGCGGAAUCACAUUCUAAACCUUUUGGAGUGACUUAAGAACAUUAUGGACAUCCUUACCCUCAAUAUGAACCUUAAUAGGAUUCAAAGAUCAUACACACUUGUUUAAAAUAAUUUUAUAAGGAAAGAACAACAUGGACAACCUUAGUUGCUAGGAGUAGAUUAGUUAUGAAGUAGCGUAUUCAUUUCGGUUUAUAUCAUGCCAAAAGAAAGAAGGAAGUGCCUUAACAUACCUAAACCAAUUCCCUUGAAAAAGAUUUCACCGUACUCCCAUUAACUACAUUGGCCUUAAUCCACCUUCUUCUUUAUUGACUACAUGUACUUUUUGAGCUCCUUUAUCCACAAACCUCCGAAUUCAC